RNAcentral lists this ribosomal RNA (253 nucleotides) under uncultured bacterium. Its description in RNAcentral is "partial 16S ribosomal RNA". It matches the Rfam family "Bacterial small subunit ribosomal RNA", at positions 524 to 776 of the family's 1533-position model. The record is from RNAcentral.
UACGGAGGGUGCAAGCGUUGUUCGGAAUUAUUGGGCGUAAAGCGCGUGUAGGCGGUUCGUUAAGUCUGAUGUGAAAGCCCGGGGCUCAACCCCGGAAGUGCAUUGGAUACUGGCGGACUUGAGUACGGGAGAGGGAAGUGGAAUUCCGAGUGUAGGGGUGAAAUCCGUAGAUAUUCGGAGGAACACCGGUGGCGAAGGCGGCUUCCUGGACCGAUACUGACGCUGAGACGCGAAAGCGUGGGGAGCAAACAGG